CCUACGGGAGGCAGCAGUGGGGAAUUUUGGACAAUGGGCGCAAGCCUGAUCCAGCCAUGCCGCGUGCGGGAAGAAGGCCUUCGGGUUGUAAACCGCUUUUGUCAGGGAAGAAAUCCUUUGGGCUAAUACCUCGGAGGGAUGACGGUACCUGAAGAAUAAGCACCGGCUAACUACGUGCCAGCAGCCGCGGUAAUACGUAGGGUGCGAGCGUUAAUCGGAAUUACUGGGCGUAAAGCGUGCGCAGGCGGUUAUGCAAGACAGAUGUGAAAUCCCCGGGCUUAACCUGGGAACUGCAUUUGUGACUGCAUAGCUCGAGUACGGCAGAGGGGGAUGGAAUUCCGCGUGUAGCAGUGAAAUGCGUAGAUAUGCGGAGGAACACCGAUGGCGAAGGCAAUCCCCUGGGCCUGUACUGACGCUCAUGCACGAAAGCGUGGGGAGCAAACAGGAUUAGAUACCCUGGUAGUCCACGCCCUAAACGAUGUCAACUGGUUGUUGGACGGCUUGCUGUUCAGUAACGAAGCUAACGCGUGAAGUUGACCGCCUGGGGNGGACGGCCGCGAGUAGUAACGUAAGUAGUAGUAGCGNGAGAGAGACGACGACGACGACGACGGAGGGAGGAG
This 620-nucleotide ribosomal RNA is filed under the name uncultured bacterium. RNAcentral describes it as "bacterial SSU rRNA". The stretch from base 1 to 542 matches the Rfam family "Bacterial small subunit ribosomal RNA", at positions 338 to 873 of the family's 1533-position model. The record is from RNAcentral.